GAAUAUUGGACAAUGGGCGAAAGCCUGAUCCAGCCAUGCCGCGUGAGUGAAGAAGGCCUUAGGGUUGUAAAGCUCUUUCACCUGCGAAGAUGAUGACGGUAGCAGGAGAAGAAGCCCCGGCUAACUCCGUGCCAGCAGCCGCGGUAAUACGGAGGGGGCUAGCGUUGUUCGGAAUUACUGGGCGUAAAGGGCUCGUAGGCGGCCAACUCAGUCGGAUGUGAAAUCCCCAGGCUCAACUUGGGAACUGCAUCCGAUACUGGUUGGCUUGAAUCCGGGAGAGGGAUGCAGAAUUCCAGGUGUAGCGGUGAAAUGCGUAGAUAUCUGGAGGAAUACCGGUGGCGAAGGCGGCAUCCUGGACCGGCAUUGACGCUGAUGAGCGAAAGCCAGGGGAGCAAACGGG
Molecule: ribosomal RNA, 400 nt
Filed under: uncultured bacterium
Lineage: Bacteria
Description: bacterial SSU rRNA
Rfam family: Bacterial small subunit ribosomal RNA
Source: RNAcentral